This 260-nucleotide unclassified non-coding RNA is filed under the name Melitaea cinxia (Glanville fritillary). RNAcentral describes it as "misc RNA ENSMCXG00005003724.1". The record is from RNAcentral. Lineage: Eukaryota; Metazoa; Arthropoda; Insecta; Lepidoptera; Nymphalidae.
CCUGCUUUUAAAAACAGAAGACCGCGGUAACUUCUUUAAACAAGAAUUUAAAUGCUCGCUAUCAAUGUAUAUGGCUUAUUCGCUAGUUAUAACUUAACAUAUAGAAAAAAAAAAAAAAAAAAAAAAAAAAUAUUUGAGGGCGUAAAAAAAAAAAAAAAAAAAAAAAAAAAAAAAAAAAAAAAAAAAAAAAAAAAAAAAAAAAAAAAAAAAAAAAAAAAGGUUAGGUUAGGUUAGGUUAGGUUAGGUUAGGUUAGGUUCCC